CAGUAGCCACGGGAAUACGGAGGGGGCUAGCGUUGUUCGGAAUUACUGGGCGUAAAGCGCACGUAGGCGGCUUUUUAAGUCAGAGGUGAAAGCCCGGGGCUCAACUCCGGAACUGCCUUUGAGACUGGAAGGCUUGAACGUCGGAGAGGUGAGUGGAAUUCCGAGUGUAGAGGUGAAAUUCGUAGAUAUUCGGAAGAACACCAGUGGCGAAGGCGGCUCACUGGACGACUGUUGACGCUGAGGUGCGAAAGCGUGGGGAGCAAACAGGAUUAGAUACCCCUGUAGUCCCUGUCUCUUAUAC
RNAcentral lists this ribosomal RNA (301 nucleotides) under uncultured bacterium. RNAcentral describes it as "partial 16S ribosomal RNA". It matches the Rfam family "Bacterial small subunit ribosomal RNA", at positions 509 to 807 of the family's 1533-position model. The record is from RNAcentral.